Molecule: long non-coding RNA, 730 nt
Organism: Poecilia latipinna (sailfin molly)
Lineage: Eukaryota; Metazoa; Chordata; Actinopteri; Cyprinodontiformes; Poeciliidae
Exons: 2
Source: RefSeq, a predicted model, not a curated record
UAAAGUAGUAGUGUGUAUGUAGAAAUCCCUUUGACAUCAUAUGUGCAGGGAGGAUGUUCUCAUCCUUUCCAUUCGUCGACCCUCCCCCACCCUGAACUGCACCCACUGGCGCAUGCGCCUUUUUGCGAGACAGCAGCAACUGCUGGUGCUCGCGCAAACUUUGAGGACGACGGCAGCAGUAUAAAAGGCUCGGUCCGUUCGCUCCGGUUUAAAAGUCGGAAAUGUGCGGCCGUUGAGGACACAGACAUCACAGGUCGAAUUACAUGGAAAGAAGAACGCAUUUUUUUUUCGAUCGCCAUCUUAUUUCUUCUUUUGAAGAUGAUUUCGAUUUCUUCACGUUAAGACUUGAUGAAAUGGUUGGUUUAUGAUGACAUCAUGCAGUUAGUAUUUGUGGGCGGGCUCUGAGCUGAGAGGGGAGAGGGGCGCAACCGGAGAGCACUAACGGCCAGGCGCCAUUAGGUAACAAUGUCACAUUAAUGUCCGUUUAGGAACAAAGCAUUCAUAUGAAUUACCUUUUAAAACAGCUAUGUCGGUAGCGUGUGUGUCUACACAAAAUAUACGAGAUAGCUGUCAAAUCAUGAGAUGUAGCCUUCUUUUUAUUUGGUGAAGAUGGAUCUCGACCUAAAACAAGAUGGCGUCGAGUUUUUUUCACCCCCCCAAUUAGGGCGGCGGCGCCGUGCGCGUUCUCGAAACAAUGUUAUUUCCUGUUUUCGUGGUGGAUUGUUCUUAA